RNAcentral lists this unclassified non-coding RNA (202 nucleotides) under uncultured fungus. RNAcentral's name for it is "sequence contains ITS1, 5.8S rRNA gene". The record is from RNAcentral. Lineage: Eukaryota; Fungi.
CAGAGUAACGAUCUCCGGAUCGAUUACCCGCCCUCAUGUCAUGGUUUUGGUGGGGUCAUCGUGCCCGCCGAUCAUACUUCCCAGGAGGUGUUGCCCUCGCCCGUACGCCCGCGUGCGCGGAGGGAGGCAACCGCCUGGGGUCAUUUUUUUUAUAGCAAUUCUGUCGAGAUGAUGAAGUCUGAGUGUGAAUAAAACAAAAGCA